AGCAGCCGCGGUAAUUCCAGCUCCAAUAGCGUAUAUUAAAGUUGUUGCAGUUAAAAGCUCGUAGUUGAAUUUCGGGGUUAGUAGGUUGGUCAUGCCUCUGGUAUGUACUGGUCUCACUGAUUCCUCCUUCCUGAUGAGCCGUAAUGCCAUUAAUUUGGUGUUGCGGGGAAUUUGGACUGUUACUUUGAAAAAUUAGAGUGUUUAAAGCAAGCUAACGCUUGAAUACAUUAGCAUGGAAUAAUGAAAUAGGACGUUCGAUCCUAUUUUGUUGGUUUCUAGGAUUGACGUAAUGAUUAAUAGGGAUAGUUGGGGGCAUUAGUAUUCAAUUGUCAGAGGUGAAAUUCUUGGAUUUAUUGAAGACUAACUACUGCGAAAGCAUUUGCCAAGGAUGUUUUCAUUAAUCAAGAACGAAAGUUAGGGAUCGAAGACGAUCAGAUACCGUCGUAGUCUUAACCAUAAACUAUGCCGACUAGGGAUCGGAUGAUGUUAAUUUUUAAUGUACUCAUUCGGCGCCUUAACC
RNAcentral lists this unclassified non-coding RNA (520 nucleotides) under uncultured Glomus. Its description in RNAcentral is "SSU rRNA". It matches the Rfam family "Eukaryotic small subunit ribosomal RNA", at positions 569 to 1093 of the family's 1831-position model. Lineage: Eukaryota; Fungi; Glomeromycota; Glomeromycetes; Glomerales; Glomeraceae. The record is from RNAcentral.